Long non-coding RNA from Phragmites australis (common reed), 2346 nucleotides. RefSeq lists it as uncharacterized. The transcript has 4 exons. Lineage: Eukaryota; Viridiplantae; Streptophyta; Magnoliopsida; Poales; Poaceae. The record is from RefSeq and is a predicted model, not a curated record.
AAAUUUGCGCCCUUCGUUACACCCUUCCUUAUUGACAGGAAUCCUAAUUAAUACUAAUUGAAUCCCUCUGAUUUCUUCCCAAAUCUCUCGCGAGGCGCGAUCUCCUUCCACAGUUUUCUGAUCCACACGCCGCCCCCGCGCGCCCUUCUCUGCACAAUAGCCGUCGCGGCGAUGAUGAAUCCCUGCUCCAUCCUCACGCGGACGACCUGAUCCGCCCGCACGAAUAAGCCUCCGCUGCCCUGGUGAUCCAGCACAGCGCUGAGGCCCUGUCCCGCACGAGCGAGGAUGCCCGGAUCUGCCCAUGCUAGAAGGCCCUUCUCUGUCCGCACGUCGACAUCCUGAUCCUCACGUGCAAGGACGCUCGGCUCCGCCCGUGCUACGAGCCCCUGCUCCGCCAGCGCGCCCUACUUUGCCCGAAUGACUACGCCUUGGUCUUGACGGUACGCACCAUCGAAUCACCACUCAUCCCCUCCCUGGGUCGUCGACCACUGGGUCUUCGAUUGUGCUCCGCCACCAGCCACUCCACAGUGGAGCUCGACCUCCGCAGAGCGUGCAAGACCUCGACAUCGCUUUCUCGCCGCUCUCACCCACAUCUAAGGCGCUACCCAGCAUGGCCACAGCUCUGCCCCAAGCGGCCAUCCAUGGAUCCACCGGAGAAGCACACCAGCAGCAAUGCACAGCCGAGCAGAAAAGGCCACCCGUCUUCUUCAGCCCGAUCUGCAGCCCCGCCGCCGCGUCCCCAGCCUGAUCUCUAGCUCCGCCCCAGCCUCGUCGGCCUGCCAUCCGGAUCCUCGUCAUCUCCGUCCCUGCCGCAGCCUCACCGGACUGCCACCCCUUCCUCGCCAUCUUAGGCAUUUCUGACGGCCGUCGGAAGCCAAUGUUGCCAUUCUUGCCACCGUUGAUGUAGAGUACACCAAGGAGGCCACCAACCAAUCACAGCGAUGUGUAAUGGUUUGUCUUCUCAAGGCUGCAGCAGAUUGAAGUGGAUCGUGUUCUAUCCAUUUGGUCCUCGAAGUUCAUUUACAUAUGUCACGGUGAGAAGCAACUACUAUAGACAAUCGACAUGACCGGAUGCAUUACAGCAUGGGCAGCAUCAAACCAGGAGGGAAAAGGGUGAUGGUGGCAAGAUGUGGAGCUAUUGGCGGAACAAAAAAAAUGGGUAAGAUUUGCUCAUCUUCCUUCACCUCAGAUUUGCCCACUCUUUGAAAUUUGAUUACGCUACUGGAUUUGUUACUUCUCAAUGAAAAUUGUUUGAUACAUUUGUAUCAGCAGGUGAAAAGGAAGAACUUUACUUACUAGAUAUAAUUGAUUGUACACAUAUUGUGAUCCAGUGCAAUUAGUAAAUGGAUAGAUCUUCAUAUACUUCUGUGCUUAGAUCUGCAUAUUUUUCCUGUCCUCUACUGUUCUAGGUUUUUGUGAGGUAGAAUCGAAUAUCUUCAAUUUGAAUAAAAAUCCUACAUCUUCUUUCUUCAGUUUGUUUGACUAUUUCUUGGUUAGAGAGUUGGAUAUGUGCUAGAACUGCCUAGGCAGUGCUAAAAAAGAAGUAUCCCAUGAAUAUGAAUAUUCUGGUUGCCAUGUAAGCUGUCUUUGGUGUUUACAUUUUUUUCAUUUUCAGAUUACUAUUUGCAAAAAGAAGAAGGUUGAAGAAUACGACUUUCCAUUACCAAUUAAUUUACACAGUUUUUCAUUGCCACUUAUGUUGUUUGAAACUACCACUUCUCUUUUUAAAAGCAGCAUGAGUUGACAUUCCACAUCAUGAGUUUAGUUUCAGGGAGAUGAUAUUCCACAGCAUGAAUUGUCACAUCCAGCUAAGAGAAGGUUUUCACAGAGAUCUCCAAUCAGGUCUGCAACAGCUAGCACAACCAGUACAAUAUUGUUUCUUCUCCGUAUAGGUUGCUGGCCAACACUCUAUUCUACUGGUCUGAUUUGUUUCGGCUGCUCAGGAGGUAUGGCACUCGGAUGCUGAUGCACCCUAGACGCACAUGAGAGCAGGACUUCUGACAACAACUUCUGAAUUCAUCUCUUCAGAAAUAAAAAAAAUGUUGUUGCUUCGGAUACAAUGACAUGAAAACUCGCUAUACUUUUAUUUGUUCAGAUACCUUCAGAAACUACUCUACUGUUUCUGGUAGUUAGGUUUGUUGCUUGGCGAAAACAUUUGAUAGCUAUCGUGGGAUAAACUACCAUAUCUCUAAGUGCAAGUUGGUAAGAUUGUAUCGCUUGUUAAUUAGUGUCGUCGUUUACGCUUUCCUAACAUCUACCUUGUGCAGAUUCUGUUGCCACAUGCUCUCAUCGGCAGCUACAUUCUGUUUACACUGGAUAUGGAUAAUAGAACACUUCCUAUGUCCU